RNAcentral lists this transfer RNA (71 nucleotides) under Camelus bactrianus (Bactrian camel). It matches the Rfam family "tRNA". From Rfam's summary of the family: Transfer RNA (tRNA) molecules are approximately 80 nucleotides in length. The record is from Rfam by way of RNAcentral. RNAcentral also lists the same sequence under 2 other names. Lineage: Eukaryota; Metazoa; Chordata; Mammalia; Artiodactyla; Camelidae.
AGAGCAUAACUCAGUGGUAGAGUGCGUGCUUAGCAUGCACAAGGUCCUGGGUUCAAUCCCCAGUACCUCUG